This 1035-nucleotide ribosomal RNA is filed under the name Triticum aestivum (bread wheat). Its description in RNAcentral is "partial small subunit ribosomal RNA". The record is from RNAcentral. Lineage: Eukaryota; Viridiplantae; Streptophyta; Magnoliopsida; Poales; Poaceae.
AUGGAGAAGAAAGAAGCAGCCAUGGCCCAAGCCAUUGUCCAAAGCUUAUGCACGAAGCUCAGAUCCACCAUCGCCGUUGGAGACAAGGCCACCGGCGAUUUGCAGGAAAUAAUGGAGAUGCUGGAGGCCAUACAUCCGCUGCUGGAGGACGCAGAGAGGCGGUGUCUUUGUUUUAAGGAUGAUGUCCCCAAAGAGGGAUCGAAGGAAAUAAUGGGGACACCGGAAGCCAUACAGCCGCUGCUAGAAGAUGCCCCCCAGCAAAUGGAGGGGAAGAAGGUGCGGGACUGGCUGAGGCGGGUCGUUAAGGCCGCCUAUGAUAUCUUGGACGUGUUGCAAGACACCAUGACACCGUCUGCGCGUAAGUUGACGAAGAUGAUACCGCGUGCCAAUGCCCCUGAGAAGAAGAAUCUCAUGGCUGGUAAGAUGGAGAAGAUAAAAGAAGAAGUCUGCAAGCUACGAGUCGACAUGGAUGAAUUCAAUCUUAUGUCAUCUGAUUCCGAUGCAACCAUCGAGCCACAAGUUAUUGAUGUAAAAGAGUUUGAAGAACCAACGAUUGUAGGAAGGGAUAAAGAAAUGCAGAUGAUAAUGGAAAGUAUAUUUAUGAAAAAAGGGCACCACAUCAUAGUUCAAAUUGGUUGGCGUGAGGAUGGCAGCGGCAAGACAACAUUAGCGCAAAUGGUUUUCAGCCAUAGCCGAUUCAAAGACUACUCCCGAGUGUGGUUCCAAUGCUCAGGGAAUUUUCCCUUGCAGGAGAUGGGGAAGGCCAUAAUUUCUCAGGUAUCAGGGGAAGAGAUCAGCGGUGAUUCAAAUGACAACAUCGAGUAUGUAAGGAAGCGCCUUCAUCAGCUAUUUGAUAAUGGUAUUAAGGUACUUGUUGUUUUAGAUAACACACAGCUAUCAUCGGAUGAUAGCGAAAAGUUGGGAGGUAUGCUAAGGGAAUGGGACAAUCAUAGUGAGGUAAUCUUGAUAGCAACAGGCGAAAAUAUCUAUAUUCGGAUAUAUGAAACAAACAUAGAUAAUGUAUGUGCCUUUUAG